Non-coding RNA from Meleagris gallopavo (turkey), 3817 nucleotides. NCBI's taxonomy places the organism in Eukaryota, Metazoa, Chordata, Aves, Galliformes, Phasianidae. The record is from RefSeq and is a predicted model, not a curated record.
GACUUCAGCCACACUUUGCCCAAGAAUGUGAGGAAAUUUCCUGUGUCAGAUGCGAGAUGGAAAUAGAAGUGAAAUCUGGAUAUCUUUUGUUUGGUGUCUGAUGCUCUUUUUCAUACCUAGCAGCCAGGAUGUGUGGCCCAGUGAGCACACUCAAACCACAAGAUGCAUUGCCAAGCCAGGAGUUCUCACCUGUUUCUAACAACUCCUAAACCCCAAGGUAUGAUCCCAAGAAGCAGAUCCAGAGAGGCAGCAGGGUGAGGCUUGGCAAAGCCAACAGUGGGCAGGAGGUGCAAGCUGCUGAGAGCUGCUGCGCUGAGCCAGGCAAAGGAGCUGUGGCUCUGCUGCUCCCCUCUUCAUGGAGAUCUCCAGAACUGGGGAUGGCAAACAGUGGCUGACAGCAGUGAGCACAGUGCCGUGGGUCUGACUAUCUGUCUCACCAUUAUGAGAAUCACCAGUAAAACCGCUCUGCAACUCUGAGAACAGGAUUUGGUUUUUUGUUAAAAACUAUGUGCAAAGGGGACAGAUAAUUCUGUUCAUGCUUGAAACAGUGAGAAAAGAACUAACAGUGAGUGCUUUGCAGAAUACAUUUUCCUGUGAGUAACAGAUUCCAAGGCACCAAAUUGUUUUUAAUGGGUUAUUUUGAAAUAAGUAGAAAGAUGCAGCCCCACUGAAAUUUCUGCAAGCACUGACAGUGCCACAAAUGCAUUGAUGUGGCAGGAACAUGUUCUUUGGGUCACAGGGACAUUUUCAAAAUUCCACACUCCUCUUUGAUGCCACUCACCAGACAGCCUUGAAAACUCAUUUUGUUUCCAAAAAAACACCACCACCCUCUCCUUCUUGCCAACUUCUUUCUAUGCCCUUCUCCAUUUUAUAUAAUUUUCCUGUGCAUUUCAGAAUUUGCUUCCCCCUUUCCACAGUGCCAGAGGCAAGGCAGAGCAACAACACUACACCAGGGAGACUUCUGUGGUUCCACAACUGGUUGUCCUCAUGGCGAAGAAUUGUGAAAAGCAGAGUGCAUGUGGAAAGGAUCCAGCAAACAGAGCCGCCUUCUUUCAGUGGAAGAGGACUGGAUACAACUUAUGCUCUGCUCUUCCUGUAUACCUCCUGCAGCAGGGAGGCUGCUUGGUGCCCACACAAGUAAAUGUGUCAUCAGGAGGCCAUGGUCACUUCUGGGGCCAGCCUGCUGCCUCUUGUACAUUUCUGACAAAAACAUGUAGCUAAUGAAGAUGACUAUUUUGAAAAAUAAUAUUUUGUAGUGGAGAAUUUUCUCUAUCAAACGGUGUUAUUGUGCUCUUUGUAGCUGUUAUAGUUUCCAUGGAAAUAAAUAGGAGGCAUUACUUACGGAGCAAACUAUGUACAUUUGCUUGGCACGCUGAAUGAGCAAAUGAGCAACAUACAAGGCAAAGGGAACACUUGCAGAGCACUCCAAGGAGCCCCUGCAUAAGGCUGAUGGGAGCACAUGCAGCUGUGCUGCCUGCAGGACGGGGCUGCUCUCUGUGCCUGACACCAUUAGCAUUCCUCGUCAGCCACAGCUCCCAGCACCGUCUGUGCAGAACUUGGGAAAACCAGGUCACUGUCUCGGCUCAUCCUCCUUGAUAAGCAGUGUUUUCUUCUGCUGCUCUGAGGCUCCGGACAGUGUAAUUAGUUGUCACUAAUGUUCAAUUCUGUGUUCAACUGCUUCAGCCCAGGCCAAAAAUGAAGGUUUUGCAUAGUUUGCAUGCCCUAAUAGGAGGGGAACUUGAGAGAGACCCAUUUUCCUUGUGUUAUAAUGAUGCAGCUGAUAUUUUUCAAAAGACCAGAAAGAAUACUAAUGACAUGUUAAGCUUUCAGCACUCCCAGAACAGAGAAUAAAUGAGAUUCCAAUGAAAAUACAAAGCUAUACACCUACCCGUGCCAGAUAACAACUUGUACUGCAAGGCUGUCAUAACGAGCAAACUGAAAUCAUGCCCUCAAGCAGAAAAACUGCCUGAAAUUGCAUUUAACUGCUUUGGGUUUGCAGGAAGAUGAGAAUCCUGAUAUUCCAAAGAAGCUGGAGGGCGGAAAAAAGGAAGAAGUUAACCCAAGUGCCAGACCAGAAAUCCAGAUUUCUGCAAUGCGAUGCUGGAGAUGAGGUCUUUUAAGCUUUUGGGGAAUACAUUUUGAGGGGAGUGUAUAGAGUUGGUCCAUGGUGAUUAAGCAACAAACUUUACAAACGGUCAAGUGGUUUUAUACUGUGGAUAAAUAAAUAAGCAUAAAUGCCCUCAAAGAAUCAUCUGGAUGAUGCAGCGUAGCUUGUUUCUUGGCAGGGCAGCUGUAUCAGUAAUUAAGGCUGCAUUAAUGCGUUCUGUAGGUGUCACUGUAAUGGCAAUGUCUGCAUCGACCGAAGCGACUGAGCAGUGUGAGGAGCCAGGAGCUGCAUGCACUCUUUGCCAAAAAUGCGCUUAGAAUUUGACAUGCCAGAACACCAUUAAAAAUAGCAUCACUUAAGUCAUAAACAACAAGGCAAAUGAUAUUAGCAUCCACUACAGUAACUGCAAAGUCAACGUGCAGUAUUUCGGGAGAUGGAAUAUGAAGCAGAGCAUGCAUUAGCAGUCAUUCCAAGAUGGUUUCUUUGGACAGAAGAGCACCAGCUUCAAAGAACUGUAUUCUGCUUUGUGUGUGCUGGGAAGCAGGGAAUGAGAUGAGGGGUCAUGAAAUUACAGCUGGAACUGAUGACACUGGAAAAAUUGAAAUUCCUCUUUCGCAGUGAUUUGGGUUAAGAAGUCCUAAGCGUGCAGUAUGAGCUAUAUACAACUCUGCCAACAACCAUAGGUCAGUUCAUGUAGUAAGGUGAAAGUCAGAAAGAGAAAUAUUUUCUAGAAAAAAAGAAAAAGAAAUGUUUCUGUGUAGUAACCUUUGUAGUUAAGCAUAGGUGAUCCUUGCUGCCCCAGUCAGCAGAGGAAUUUUAUAGGUGCUUCAAAUACAUUAAAAUACAUCAAUUAAAUACAUUAAAAUACUUCAAAUACAUUUUACUAUCAUCAUUAUUUAAGCAGAAUUCAGCCCCGGAGGCCACAUAACAGUUAAACUUGUCAUAACAACUCCAAAUAUAAUAGGAGCACAAGCUCAAGAUACUCUUCAGAUGUGUGCUGCUAAUUGCAGUUACAAUGGUAUUAUUUUCCAGCUUCAUCUCCUGCAAGCCAGCACGUUACUAACAGAUGGAGAAGUAACUCAUUUUGGUAAGCCCAGUCACACGUUACCUGUCUUCUCAAAUGUUCCAUGUAAUGAAAGCUAUUGCAGAGCUAACCACAAUCAGCACCAUGUGGUAAUGCCUCUUCAGUCCUCCGUGCUGUAUUCCAACCUUGCUUUGGCUCAUAACAGUGCGAAUGCAAUUUAAAAACUCCAGGAUGGAAAUCCUGCUUGGAAACAUUUCCAGAUUUGUACUUGAGUAUUAAUUGCGCUUGACGCUUAAUUUGCAACAAAGAACACCUUACAGUGACUGGACGUGUGCAUUGCAAAAAGUAAGAUAAAGGAAUGUCUGUGACGCAGAUUCUUGCAGCUGACGUUCUCCGGUGAUAUUUAGACUAUGUAAAUAUGGGCAAUGUAAGCAGUGAUCUUGUUUGCAAUGUGGCUGCUGAAUUCUUGGGAAGAAACCCAAACCUUGCACUUGCCUCCUUCCACAGAACAAGCCCCACAGGAGCACAGCAAGUACUCUGUUUAGAUGUGGUACAGAGGAAGAUCUCUGUGUAAAAAGCCCAUCUGUACUCAUGAACUCUGCAAAGGAAAACUUACAACAGGAUGCUUUUCUUUUGUUUUUAAAUACACAUCUUUCAGGAGGAAAAAAAAUAAAAAAUAAAAAAUA